This 406-nucleotide unclassified non-coding RNA is filed under the name Hevea brasiliensis (rubber tree). Lineage: Eukaryota; Viridiplantae; Streptophyta; Magnoliopsida; Malpighiales; Euphorbiaceae. The record is from RNAcentral.
GAGAGAGAGAGAGAGAGAUUGUUUGAGGUAGAGAGAAAGAAAGAUAGUGUGUGUAUGUGAGGGUGAGAGAUGAGAGAGGCGGAGAUAGAUAAAAGAGAGGGAUAAUGGGUGGGAUUGGAGAGGGAAACAUAGUCAGUUUACAUUUUUUUUUUCUCUAAAUUUUGCGCUUCAAGAGGAUUAAUGGGAAACUAGUUAUAAUGGGUAAGGGAUUUUAUGUUCACCCAAUUGAAGUUGAGGGGUUUCUUUUUACAAUUUGAAAUUUACCCUUUGUUUGAAAUAAGAUUUUUAAAGUAAUGGAUUGUGUUUGGGAGAGUAUACAGUUUUUUAUAGUAAUGUUUUUGGAGGGUUUUUUAAACCUCAACUUUCCUACCCACCAAAUUAGUAGAUUAAGGGCUUGUUUGGUAUU